GAACAGAGCUGGGGGACAACGUAGCUGCCCCGCAAGAAGGGGCGGGGCAGAGUACCGCGAAGAGCUAGAGCGCGCGUCACUUCGAGCCGCGCGGCAGGACCUUUACUUUCGUCAGAAGAGAGAAAGAAAAGGCACUUGAGAAGACCCAGACGACCCUGGCAGAAAGGUCUAGCUAAGAAAGUGUUAACAAAGGGAAGGAAGACCCCAGAAGAAAUUGUGACGACUUUGCUUCAUGUACUGAUUCCACAAAUGUGGAGCCCCUGUCGUCGGGCCGGUUACAGGCCACUGAAGAAACACAGCAACAGCCUUACAACACAUCCCAACCCAUGGAGAGAGGCCCUGUAAGGCCCCCAAUCUGAAAACUCAGAGCCCAAGCCUUGACCAGGAGGAUAUUACUAUGAAAGCUGUUUUGGAUCAACAGCCAGGACGAGUUUUCUUCACACUCACAGGACUGCACCUCUCAUAAAGCAUUAGCCUGUGAACUUUGCUGCAGUCUCUGUUUCCAGGCAGAUAGCUUUCCAUGGAGGUUUGGCAGUCAGUGUCUCAGCCAAGUAAGUCAUCACUCUUAGCAUCACCAGUAGUGGAAGAACCCAGUGUAUGAAGAUCCUCAUGAGAUGCCUCUGAAGUAUUCCUGAAAAAAAAAAAAAAAAGAAUUUAACCUAAACCUAAUCAAGCCUCCAGACCUAACUUCCAUUUUAAGGACAAUAUAGUCUUAAAUGUAAAAGUUAAAG
Hyaena hyaena (striped hyena) is the source of this 731-nucleotide long non-coding RNA. RefSeq lists it as uncharacterized. The record is from RefSeq and is a predicted model, not a curated record. Lineage: Eukaryota; Metazoa; Chordata; Mammalia; Carnivora; Hyaenidae. The transcript has 6 exons.